Non-coding RNA from Microcebus murinus (gray mouse lemur), 1294 nucleotides. NCBI's taxonomy places the organism in Eukaryota, Metazoa, Chordata, Mammalia, Primates, Cheirogaleidae. The record is from RefSeq and is a predicted model, not a curated record.
GACCCAGGUGAUCAGACUUCGGAAUCUCGGUGAUGGUUUCCCCAGGCGCCAUGUCGAGCGACUACACCACGGGGAACCUCCUACGACUCGGUCUGGCCGCCCUCACGGUGGUUAUUAUGGCAGCCUUCCUGUUUGAAGCCUGGCACAGCCAGAAGGCAUCCACAAGUGGAUCCAGCCUCUCCGGCCCUCACUGGAAGCCUGGAGCAGGAGCUUUGGAGCAGCAUGGUUGCUGGGACCCAGACUACUCAGAGCAGUGCGGCCGGGACACAGCUAGAAGUGGCGCAAAAGCCCCUCCCUGCCUCCCUGGGAACUAGGGUUAAGAAGGAGAGCUCCAGCCUGACAUUUCCCUGGGCAAGCUGCUCCGCCUCCUCUGCUCACAGCCUCUCUUCCUUCUCUGUCCAGCCUUCUUUCUAGAAGUCACUGCCUGCCCACCCUCCUCCUUCCCUCUCCCCCUUCCCCAACCUCUUCCCCUCCUCGUCCUCCUCCUCUCCUUUCCCUCCCCUUUCUCCCCCUCCCUUUUCCUGAUAAAUUCGAGUCCUUUAAACACCAAAGUCUACCAUGGGGACUCCUUAUGAUCUCAGUGUGGGCACAAAUGAUAUUUUAGGUGGGCUAUUUCUUUACCAGGUGGGGCUAGCUUAUUCAUUACAGGAGCAUUUAGAAACUCUAAAUUGCUAAAUUUUCCUUCCCAUUAAGUACCAGUUAAAGCCCUAAUCAUUGUGGAACAAGAAAAAAAGCAGCUGCUGUCACACCUUUCAAACGUCCCUGGAUGGGGUGGGGAGGAAUGGGAAGUCGGGGUCAUGCUCCCCCUGGUUUAGAACAUGUGUCCAGAGGCCAGCAGAAAUGAUAUUCUCCCUCCUCUGCCCUUCACUAAACUCAGGUCUGUUGUCGUCUACCCACAGGUCCCGGAGCUCCCCAGGGGAAUGAUGAAUUUUGGAUUGAGUUGGACCAGCUGAUCCUCAAGGCUGCAUCCCCCGCUCUACUGGGAUCCACUCCAGGACAGCAGGAUGGCUUUCUUCUUCCUGUACUCCUCGCCUGGAACAGACGGCAGGAGUGGGGAGAAACACUCAGUACAGUUGUGAUGACUUGAAUAAAUACUUAAAUCUUCAGAGUCAGGCUGGGUGGCAGGUCCACUCUCAGCUGCAGGGGACUCUUCCUCCAUUGGAAAGUAGAGGAAACAUGGCUUCCUGUAUAGUAUUUAUUAUUGCUUCCCUUCCAUUCUCUAUUUUGUGCUUCUGGGCCAGCAUUUAGUCAAAUAUUGGAAUAUAUACUUAUAAUACACGUCUUUUAAAUUUUA